Long non-coding RNA from Alosa alosa (allis shad), 311 nucleotides. RefSeq lists it as uncharacterized. The record is from RefSeq and is a predicted model, not a curated record. NCBI's taxonomy places the organism in Eukaryota, Metazoa, Chordata, Actinopteri, Clupeiformes, Clupeidae. The transcript has 3 exons.
UAUUAAUUUGCAAAACAUUUCACCGAAGGCAGUUUUCAAAACCUUGUACAGUUAAGCAGGAUUUGCUAAGCUGCUGUUACUGAAACGAGGGGCUGUUCCGACCGUAAGGUCAUCACAACCGCAUGCUGUUUUAUCUAGCAGCCAUGCACUUUAAUGAGAAUGCUGAGUCCCCACAACAGAAGACAGCCAAGGAGAAACUAUGUACAGACUUGCCAAACAAUUUAUCAUCAAAGACCCUCUUCCUUAUUGGGAUGUCGUCCAGCGGAUUCCUGUGCCCCAGGACUUGUGUGCUCAGCUUGACAGACCUUCCA